UACGUAGGCAGCGAGCGUUGUUCGGAGUUACUGGGCGUAAAGAGUGCGUAGGCGGUUUUCUAAGUUUGGUGUGAAAUCUCCCGGCUUAACUGGGAGGGUGCGCCGAAAACUGGAAGGCUUGAGUGUGGGAGAGGUAAGCGGAAUUCCUGGUGUAGCGGUGAAAUGCGUAGAUAUCAGGAGGAACACCUGUGGUGUAGACAGCUUACUGGACCAUGACUGACGCUGAGGCACGAAAGCGUGGGGAGCAAACAGG
This 253-nucleotide ribosomal RNA is filed under the name uncultured bacterium. RNAcentral describes it as "partial 16S ribosomal RNA". It matches the Rfam family "Bacterial small subunit ribosomal RNA", at positions 524 to 776 of the family's 1533-position model. The record is from RNAcentral.